This 465-nucleotide ribosomal RNA is filed under the name Vreelandella stevensii. RNAcentral's name for it is "partial 16S ribosomal RNA". It matches the Rfam family "Bacterial small subunit ribosomal RNA", at positions 338 to 795 of the family's 1533-position model. The record is from RNAcentral. Lineage: Bacteria; Pseudomonadati; Pseudomonadota; Gammaproteobacteria; Oceanospirillales; Halomonadaceae.
CCUACGGGGGGCAGCAGUGGGGAAUAUUGGACAAUGGGGGGAACCCUGAUCCAGCCAUGCCGCGUGUGUGAAGAAGGCCCUCGGGUUGUAAAGCACUUUCAGUGAGGAAGAACGCCUGGUGGUUAAUACCCAUCAGGAAAGACAUCACUCACAGAAGAAGCACCGGCUAACUCCGUGCCAGCAGCCGCGGUAAUACGGAGGGUGCGAGCGUUAAUCGGAAUUACUGGGCGUAAAGCGCGCGUAGGUGGCUUGAUAAGCCGGUUGUGAAAGCCCCGGGCUCAACCUGGGAACGGCAUCCGGAACUGGCAAGCUAGAGUGCAGGAGAGGAAGGUAGAAUUCCCGGUGUAGCGGUGAAAUGCGUAGAGAUCGGGAGGAAGACCAGUGGCGAAGGCGGCCUACUGGACUGACACUGACACUGAGGUGCGAAAGCGUGGGUAGCAAACAGGAUUAGAUACCCUGGUAGUC